This 159-nucleotide ribosomal RNA is filed under the name Pichia kudriavzevii. RNAcentral's name for it is "5.8S ribosomal RNA". It matches the Rfam family "5.8S ribosomal RNA". From Rfam's summary of the family: 5.8S ribosomal RNA (5.8S rRNA) is a component of the large subunit of the eukaryotic ribosome. Lineage: Eukaryota; Fungi; Ascomycota; Pichiomycetes; Pichiales; Pichiaceae. The record is from RNAcentral.
AAAACUUGCUAACAACGGAUCUCUUGGUUCUCGCAUCGAUGAAGAACGCAGCGAAAUGCGAUACCUAGUGUGAAUUGCAGCCAUCGUGAAUCAUCGAGUUCUUGAACGCACAUUGCGCCCCUCGGCAUUCCGGGGGGCAUGCCUGUUUGAGCGUCGUUU